Rosa chinensis is the source of this 1008-nucleotide long non-coding RNA. RefSeq lists it as uncharacterized. The record is from RefSeq and is a predicted model, not a curated record. Lineage: Eukaryota; Viridiplantae; Streptophyta; Magnoliopsida; Rosales; Rosaceae. The transcript is spliced from 2 exons.
UCUAUUCACUUUUCUACUCUCUCCGACUCUUCUCUCUCCUUUCAACCGUGAAUUUCAGGUGCCGCCAGAGCUAACUUGGGUUCCAUUUCAAAACCUUCAGAAUCGAUUUUCCGUAAUUUCCGCCAUUGUUUCUCCUCUCUCGCAGUCUGGUUGAUAUCGAGGGUUCUAUUCCAUCUCAGCUUUCACCAGCUUCGAACUCGUACUUAGGUUUCUCUAAGUAUGGAAGAUAUGUUGUAUAGUUGCGCUAAUAAUGAAAUAAUGGAUGAGGAUGUGGAACAAAGUGUUCCACGCAAAAGAAAGAGGAAGGCAGCAGUAUGAGAUAAUUUUGAAGUAAAAGUGAUCAAGGGGGAAGAGAAUGCCUGAAUCGCCUCUUGCUCGUCACUUUGGCCAUCAAAUUUGAUGGAAUAAGCUUUCUGAACUUGAAUUUGAUGGAAUAAGCUUUCUGAACUUGCUUUGACUGUGCUGAAAUUGAUACCUAUUUAGAUAUGCCCACCUCUUAGAAAUUUUCAUUAGUAGUGAUUGAACUAUCCAAAUGAAAAGAAUAGAAAAGGCUAAGUUAGCUGCUGUCACUACUUGUUUGAAUUGUUUGCUGCAUAGAUUAGUUUUAAAUAUUGGUUAUAGGAAGAGGUGAGGGUGAUGAAACAGAAAAAAACCCACAUUCAGGUUUGCUUCCAUCAAUUCCUGAGCUUGAGCUUGAGCUUGAGUUUCAGUUCUUGAUGGGAUUCAAGUUACAUGUGAAUGUGAGUGUGUUUGAGAGCUACUGUUGUCAUUUAGAAAAGAGAAGUCAGUAUUGGAGGAGGCUAUCAAAUUGAGAGCGCAUUGAGAUGUGCAGAAGAAAUCAAAACAAGACAAGAUGAAGAUAGAAGAUAUAACCAGUGUGUUGGUGUUUUGUUGUAGAUCAAAUCAAGGAAAUUUCUCUUUCUUUCUUUUUUUUUUGGUGGGAUUUUAUCCUAGUAAUUCAUUUGUACAGGUUGAUGUAAAUUUGUGUAAAUGUACAAAGUUGUUGCA